AAUUGGAGGGCAAGUCUGGUGCCAGCAGCCGCGGUAAUUCCAGCUCCAAUAGCGUAUAUUAAAGUUGUUGCAGUUAAAAAGCUCGUAGUUGAAUUUCGGGAUUGACACAUCGGUCGUGCCUUAAGGGGUAUGAACUGGUGUAGUCAAUUUCUCACCUUCUGGAGAACGGCGAUGCCCUUAAUUGGGUGUCGCGGGGAACCAGGACCUUUACUUUGAAAAAAUUAGAGUGUUUAAAGCAGGCAUUUUGCUUGAAUACAUUAGCAUGGAAUAAUAAAAUAGGACGGCAUGAUUCUAUUUUGUUGGUUUCUAGGAUCACCGUAAUGAUUAAUAGGGAUAGUUGGGGGCAUUAGUAUUCAAUUGUCAGAGGUGAAAUUCUUGGAUUUAUUGAAGACUAACUACUGCGAAAGCAUUUGCCAAGGAUGUUUUCAUUAAUCAAGAACGAAAGUUAGGGGAUCGAAGACGAUCAGAUACCGUCGUAGUCUUAACCAUAAACUAUGCCGACUAGGAAUCAGACGAUGUUAAUUUUUUAAUGACUCGUUUGGCACCUUACGGGAAACCAAAGUGU
This 565-nucleotide ribosomal RNA is filed under the name uncultured Glomus. RNAcentral describes it as "SSU rRNA". It matches the Rfam family "Eukaryotic small subunit ribosomal RNA", at positions 546 to 1106 of the family's 1831-position model. The record is from RNAcentral. Lineage: Eukaryota; Fungi; Glomeromycota; Glomeromycetes; Glomerales; Glomeraceae.